This 392-nucleotide ribosomal RNA is filed under the name uncultured bacterium. Its description in RNAcentral is "partial 16S ribosomal RNA". It matches the Rfam family "Bacterial small subunit ribosomal RNA", at positions 523 to 918 of the family's 1533-position model. The record is from RNAcentral.
AUACGGAGGAUGCGAGCGUUAUCCGGAUUUAUUGGGUUUAAAGGGAGCGUAGGCGGGAGCUUAAGUCAGCGGUUAAAUGGUGCGGCUCAACCGUGCCCUGCCGUUGAAACUGGGUUUCUUGAGAGUGCAAGAGGCGGAUGGAAUUCAUGGUGUAGCGGUGAAAUGCUUAGAUAUCAUGAAGAACUCCGAUUGCGAAGGCAGUCCGCUGGGGCACGUCUGACGCUGAUGCUCGAAGGUGCUGGAAUCAAACAGGAUUAGAUACCCUGGUAGUCCGCACGGUAAACGAUGAUUACCCGCUGUCGGCGGUAGACAGUCGGCGGCCAAGCGAAAGCGAUAAGUAAUCCACCUGGGGAGUACGCCGGCAACGGUGAAACUCAAAUGAAUUGACGGGG